Molecule: ribosomal RNA, 494 nt
Filed under: uncultured bacterium
Lineage: Bacteria
Description: partial 16S ribosomal RNA
Rfam family: Bacterial small subunit ribosomal RNA
Source: RNAcentral
GAUGAACGCUGGCGGCGUGCCUAAUACAUGCAAGUCGAGCGAACAGACGAGGAGCUUGCUCCUUUGACGUUAGCGGCGGACGGGUGAGUAACACGUGGGUAACCUACCUAUAAGACUGGGAUAACUUCGGGAAACCGGAGCUAAUACCGGAUAAUAUUUCGAACCGCAUGGUUCGAUAGUGAAAGAUGGCUCUGCUAUCACUUAUAGAUGGACCUGCGCCGUAUUAGCUAGUUGGUAAGGUAACGGCUUACCAAGGCAACGAUACGUAGCCGACCUGAGAGGGUGAUCGGCCACACUGGAACUGAGACACGGUCCAGACUCCUACGGGAGGCAGCAGUAGGGAAUCUUCCGCAAUGGGCGAAAGCCUGACGGAGCAACGCCGCGUGAGUGAUGAAGGUCUUCGGAUCGUAAAACUCUGUUAUUAGGGAAGAACAAACGUGUAAGUAACUGUGCACGUCUUGACGGUACCUAAUCAGAAAGCCACGGCUAACUAC